This 253-nucleotide ribosomal RNA is filed under the name uncultured Oscillospira sp. Its description in RNAcentral is "partial 16S ribosomal RNA". It matches the Rfam family "Bacterial small subunit ribosomal RNA", at positions 524 to 776 of the family's 1533-position model. Lineage: Bacteria; Bacillati; Bacillota; Clostridia; Eubacteriales; Oscillospiraceae. The record is from RNAcentral.
UACGUAGGUGGCAAGCGUUGUCCGGAUUUACUGGGUGUAAAGGGCGUGCAGCCGGAGAGGCAAGUCAGAUGUGAAAUCCGCGGGCUCAACCCGCGAACUGCAUUUGAAACUGCUUCCCUUGAGUAUCGGAGAGGUAACCGGAAUUCCUAGUGUAGCGGUGAAAUGCGUAGAUAUAUGGAAGAACACCAGUGGCGAAAGCGGCUCUCUGGUCUGUAACUGACGCUGAGGUUCGAAAGCGUGGGUAGCAAACAGG